CCCCUCUCAGGAUCAAAUCUGGAGAGUUUCUAGUACUCUAUCAGUCUCUGCUACAGGAAGGAGAGUCAAGGAGAGGCAUACCCAUUCCAUUUCUAGCUUGGGCAGUAGCUAGUGAGUGGAAGGCAAUCUACUAUAAGU
Molecule: small nucleolar RNA, 138 nt
Organism: Tachyglossus aculeatus (Australian echidna)
Lineage: Eukaryota; Metazoa; Chordata; Mammalia; Monotremata; Tachyglossidae
Source: RefSeq, a predicted model, not a curated record